CCCACCCAGCCCGUGGCCCCCUCCGCCCAGCCACAGAAAAGCACAGUGCCAGAGCAGUGCCGUUCCCUUGCACCUGGCCCGGUUGGAGCCUGCGCUGAGCCCCAUCCCAAUGCCCUGCCACCAUUUUGGCUCUGUGGUGGGCUCGUGGGAGCCGUGCUGGCAGCAGUCUGCCUGCUCAUGUCCAUGCUGUUGUGCGCCUGCUGCCAGAGAUAACUUCUGAGCUACCCUCUGCUCACACGGAUGAGUUUUUUUCAGAAUGUGAUUAUCACCAUCUUUGGGGUUAGCUUCCAGGCUCAUUGCUGUGCUUCUGUUGUGUUGAGUGCUUGUUAUCAGCUCAUGGUCAUGUCCAUGAGCUCCUCAGUGGCUGUUUGGGCUGUCCUCGCUGUCUGUUCUUCAGAAAGGCUGAGGGAGCUGAGAUUGUUCAGCCUAGAGAGGUGAGGGCUCAGGAGCCUCACUGUGGCCUUUAGAACUUGGAGGGGCUUAUAAAGAGGAGGCAGACUGACAUUACACGGCCCAACAGUGACAGGACAAGGGGGAAUGUCUUUAGACUAAAAGAAAGGAGGUUAGGUGUUAAUGGGAAGCUCUUCACUCAGAGUGUGGUGAGUUCCAGAGGCACUAGAGCAAGGAAGCUGUGGAGGCCCCAUCACUGGAAAUACUCAAGGCCAGGCUGCGUGGGGCUCUGGGCAGCCUGAUGUGGUAAAAACAGAAACCGGCAGCAUCUGCGAGCUGUUCCAGGUGGCGUUGUCCUGUGCCCCCUUAUGUCCCUCACGCACAGAAAAACUUGCUUUCUACACAAAAUGGAGCCUCGCUCAGAGCUUCCCCUGCAGGGACUUUUGCACUCAAGAUCUCCUGUACAGUGCAGACCCUUACCACCAACACCUGUCUGACUGCAAGCUCAUAUAUUCCAACGAGCCCAUUGCUGCAAUCCUUACACACCUGCAAGCUGGCUGUGGUGUGACUUCCCGUGACAGUUCUGUACCAGCUCACCUGCUGCCCAGACUGUAGGAGGUUCACCAGAACUGCUAGGGAGGCAGUGCCUGGGGUGCCAGAAUUGGAGGAGGUCCACCUGAAACCUGAUACAGGCUCUGGUUCUUCUCCCUUGCCCACCCUCCUAUAAUGCUGCAAUCCACGGAGGACAAAGUGGGAAAAGUUGAGAGAGGCUGAGCACUACCAGGUGUGCCAUUCCCUGGCAUGCUCUCUCCCUACAAUACCUGGGUCUGCAUGCUCACAGACAAAAUUGCCAAUCCAGAACACUAACCAGGACAAGUCCCCUGCUCAACACUCAGCUGCAAGCAAAAAUUCUGAGGUCCCCACCCACCACCCUGCUUGGCCCUGCAGGCAGAAAAAGCAGCACAAAGCUCAGUGAGAUCCAGCUGUCAGCUCUGAGGAAGUUGUUUCUCAAGACCACUAAAACCAUCUCCAUGCUAAAUCCAAGCCAGAAGAAAACUGUUGUUUUUUUUUUUAAAUUUUAAAUGGGUGAAGGCUACCCCCUAUAGAGAACUGCAGAACUCGACCCAAGGACAAAGUGAGACAUGAAAAAAAAGAGUACCGUCAGCUUCACGCCAUAUGUUUGUGUUCCUGGGAAGCCAAAUUAUGUUCCUGGCAAAAAUCGCCUUUGGUUU
Non-coding RNA from Meleagris gallopavo (turkey), 1622 nucleotides. NCBI's taxonomy places the organism in Eukaryota, Metazoa, Chordata, Aves, Galliformes, Phasianidae. The record is from RefSeq and is a predicted model, not a curated record.